GUUAUAUGUAGCUCAGUGGUAAAGCAUGUGCUUAGCAUGCACAAAGCCCUGGGUUCAAUCCCCAGCAACA
RNAcentral lists this transfer RNA (70 nucleotides) under Marmota monax (woodchuck). RNAcentral's name for it is "tRNA.Ala". The stretch from base 7 to 67 matches the Rfam family "tRNA", at positions 6 to 65 of the family's 71-position model. Rfam says of the family: Transfer RNA (tRNA) molecules are approximately 80 nucleotides in length. Their secondary structure includes four short double-helical elements and three loops (D, anti-codon, and T loops). Lineage: Eukaryota; Metazoa; Chordata; Mammalia; Rodentia; Sciuridae. The record is from RNAcentral.